AUAAAAAGGGAAAAGCUUAUAUUCUGACAUCAGGAGCAAUAUUGGACGACUUAGGACUCCUACAUUUCGCCCAUGACUGACUUGCAUCAAAGACAGACUGAUGGGGAUGCUGUUGUGGCAAGAGGAGAGGACAGGCUUGCCCAAAGGAUGAGGAACUGUGGAGCAGUUCUCAAGGAAACCCCAGUGACCAGACCGAUUCAGCAGAGCUUUUUCUUCAUCUAUGGACUCAAAAUUCUGUGCGACUCUCCAUUGUGACAGCUUUGCACAAAUGGGAAUCCAUAGCAAAUGUGCUGAGCAUAACCUGCAACGAAGUGAAGCCCAAACCAAACAAGUAAACAAAACAAACAAACAAGAAACCCACAUACUUUUCAGCAAUGGUGAGAAAAUCUUUACCUUAUUCUCUCAGUGUUUGUUUUACUCACAUUAGAAAGGAGCAUUAGGGGAACUUUCCAAAUUGUCUUGUGCAUAAAAUACACCCAAACUUCAUGGGCUGUGCAUGCAGCCGUACAAGUGGAGGCUGUGCUGGUGGGGGGGAGGGAGUCCUGGCUCUGGGUAGUGGUUCUGGGUCAAAACUGUGGAGAGGGCCCUAGAAAUUAAUAUAGCUCAUCGUGUUCGUAAUGGUUACAGCAUGUGUUAGAAGUGUCACCAGUAUUUGGUGGCUCAGUUUGCCCCAUGAAAUUGUGGCUGGGGCUGCUUUGCAUCCACCUGCUGAUUACUCUGCUCUUCCCCUUUCCCUGUUAGGAGAGAAAAAGAUUCAAUUCACGUUAAUUAAAAGCUAAUUGAUGACAAGAUGACAAUACUAACAUAGUAGCUCAUGGUCCUGAGUAACAAGCUGCUAAAUAUCACCACUCCAAUUUAAAAGGACAGCAUCAAUGUUUGCCUGAUAACUAGAGUAGCAUUCUUGCUAAUUGUGGGAAAUGACUCAAAGGCCUGGCUUCGUUGUUACAGGAUGAUGGGAUGAAUCCCUGCAGCACCCAGCAGGUGCAACCCAGCCUGUUGUGCUCCCCCAGGCCCCACAACAGGGGGUUGCUGUGGCACUGUGCACACCUGGCUGUGCAGAUGAAGCCAAAUCCCUGCAAGGACAAGAGAUGCUGUGCAUGGGGCUGGGGCCUGGCUGGCUCCGUGGGGCAAGGAGUGCAGCUGGCAGGGAGCUGCUGGGAGCAGCUGCCCGCCCCAGAAGCAGCCUGUCCUGAACACACCGUGGUAGCCAGCCACAUUUGUAGGCUCUGGCACAGGCUCUGGAAGCACAUCCAGGCUGCUUUGCUGGCCUGAGCAUGCAGCCCUGCCCCUGGUUAGGGACAGGCAAGGCAGCAGUGCCCGUGUUCUGUCAGAACAGCUUUGCUUGAGCUCUCUCAAGCCCUCAAGGGGAGGAAGCCUGGCUGCCAGCCAGGGAUGGGACGCCAAACCGCUGUGCUGCUGGUGGCCUCACAGCCCUCCUGCCUCCACCACCAGCUCUGGGAUCAGCACGUGUGUGCUGCAGGAGUAGGACACCCAGCCCCCACAUCACUGCCUUGAGGCAGAGAUCUGUUACCUGAAGGUAGCAGCUCUGAAGGGCUGAGAUUAAUUAAAGGAUUAAUUGAAAUCCAUCCUUUAAUUAUUGUUAUUAAUUUAUUUUACUAGUUUUUGCUGUAAAUCUCUGCUCUUGUGGAAAAGUCUCCAUGAGUGGUAGUGCUUCCAGCAAUUGGGAACUGGAAUUAUGGAGCAGAGAAGGCAAAAUACAAUCCAGGGAGGAACCCAGGGAGUCAGUUUGGAUCAUAAAACUGCCAAGCCAUCAUGGAAUCACAGAAUGGUUUGGGUGGGAAGGGACCUUUAAAGAUCAUUGAAAUCAACCCCCUGCCAUGGGCAGGGACAUCUUCCAUGAGAGCAGGCUGCCAAGGGCUCCCUCCAGACUGGCCCUGAGCACUGCUCAAGAUGGGGCAUUGACAGCCUCCCUGGGCAACAUGUUGAGCCAUCCAAGGAAGCAGAGAGGAAGAAACAUAAGGGAAGGUGCCAGCGAAGCCCUGCAAAUAAAAUCGAAGGAGAAGGCAGAUGAAAUGUGUUCUGUGUAAUGCAGGCUUGGUUUCAUACAAGCCCAUUUUGUAAGCAAGAUUUCAUGUUUCCUCUGAGUCAAAAAAUUAGAGCUUGAUGGAGCUAGUCUGGAUGAGACUUGCGACUUUCUUCAUGAUUUUAUUGCACCAAAAAUGGUCAUAAAACCACAAGAACACCUUUUUCAGUAGAUCUGCCUCCCUGUAGGAGACCCAUUACAACACAUGUAGUAACAGAGCCACGCAUCAGCUCUGCCCUGGGACCUGAGAAGAUGCCUGUGCUGGGACAAAAAGGACCCACAGAGCUGAGGUCUGCCAUGGAAUAGGAACACAGAGGUCCUCAGCACUCUCUGCUUCACCUGAAAAAUAUUCUGGGAGCAGCCAUGCAGAAUGAGGAGCACUGAGCACCUGCAGGCCCCCCCUAAGGACCGGUCUCUGCAGACAGACCAAGGGAGGAGCAUCUCUCCUGCACUCAGCAGGCACAGUGACUCUGGUCCUGCCUGGAAGUGUGCUCUGACACACAGCAGAAGCAAGGUUUGCAUGUUUUUUCCUUUGUUCCCUGGGUUUUGUGCCUCAUGCCAGGAGCUGAGAGUGGAUGGAAAGUGGGGUGCUGUGCUUCGGCUGGUCCCACUUGGGCAGCUUCUGGUGGCUUGUGGGAAUUAUCACGUACUGCUUUGGGCGGUAGCACUGCGUAAAUGUCAAAUAGUCAUAUUUUUUUUAAUAAACAUCCCUCAGAGACAGGACUGAACGUGGCUUCAGAGCUGUUCCCUGAGGGAUUUGGUCACUGUCUUACAGGCAGGAAAAGAACUGCUGGGCUGGGACUUCGUCAUGACCAGGCAGCACCCCUGGGACUCUCGCAAGCUGCUCUGAUCUAAUCCUCAUGAAGCCUGACCCUUUCUUUCAAAUGAAGCCUAAUCCAUCACCCGAUUGUGCAAAACAUUAUCCACUGACAAAUGCGGUGAUAUCAGUGGUAAUGGAAGGCUGACGGAUGGCCAGAGCUGGGACUGCAGCUGCAGCUCUAAGUGAGCUUCAGCAUCUGUGAGCAGGAACUGGGGGAACAACAGUUUUUCUGGAGCUGCCCCGUACAGCCCAGCAUUUUGGCCAGUCUGUGCUAUGCCCUGCCCUCCCUGGUCUGGGAAGGUCUGCAGCCAGGUGGGGCUGCCUUCUGCUGCUGAGCUCCAAGCUCUGUUGCUUUCAUCCAAUCCAGCCCAAAGGAAUAAGCUUUCCUAUUAGCUUUUAUUGUUAUUGUUAUUAUCUAAAUCAUGCAAGAAAAAGCAUUCACUGACCUGCUCUGUAAUAAAAUAUAAGUGGUUCUGAGGACCAUGAAGAUGGACAACUUUUUAAAAAUGCUAGGCAGAAGUGCUGCACGCUCUGUUGAGUUUUUCAUUAGGAUUUUUCUCUCCCCCUGCCUAUUUUUCACACCCACUGGAUUAUGCAUUUACAUGCAUUAUAAUGAGAAUGACUGCAAUCAUGAUAGAUAGGAUUUUUUUUUAAAUCUUUACGUAAAAUGUUAUAGAACAUAAGCAAACUGUCGAAGUUUGAAGGCAUCAGCCCCGUUUUGGUCAUAGGCUUUCAUAUUUCUCGUGGUGGGGAUGCAAAGCGAGUCUGGGCUGCAAUCUAAAUUCUGCAGGGAAUUGUGGUUGACAGAAAUAAACCAUGUGUUGAGGGUGCCACGUGAGCUGAACAUAAACAUGAAUUAAACCCUGCAACUGUGAAGGAACCAGGGCUGUUGGAAAACUGGUGCUAAAAAUAUAAAUUUAAAGCCUAAAAGAAUGGAUUGGAAGCCAGUUUAAUUGCCUCAAUAAAGGGGUAACAUGAAAAUUAUGGAUGUCAGAGCAGAUUAAAAGUACCUCAGAAAUCAGAAUACGAUGUUGAUGCAUGAUGGAUGAGUGGCAGAAACCUGAAAGAGGCUAUUGCAUCGAUGCAGUUGUAUAGAAAAUGUGGUUUAGUGGUUAAAAAGGGUGCGUGGAAGGCAAGGGCUCUUGUUGGGGCACAGCAGCUCUUUGCAUCACAGUGUGACCUUGUGCUGAAGCUUCUUUGUUGGGUUUGUUGAGUGGGAGCACCUUGCUCGGUCCCUGGCUGCUGUGCAGCCUUGUUGGUGGGGCUGGAAAUCAACCUGCUCUUUGAAAUGCAAAAAACUCCCAACCAUUUCUGGCCUGCAGUUCAUCUCGCCGCUCUUAGACCUAAGCAUGGCUGCAAGAGGAGAAACUGCUAAGAAAUGGCUGUGUGGGUUUCCCAGAAUGCACACAAAUAAGUAUAGGAGGGCACGUGGUGGAGGUGUCAGUGUUAACGCGUGGGGUUAUGCCGGUGUUGUGAGAAGGCAGCAGAUAGGCUGAAUUUAGCUGUGUGUAGAUGAGAGCUUGCUCACAGUGCUUGCUCACAAGGAUCCUACUCUGCUCGCACUGUGAAUGAAUGACAAAAUAGCUCGUGUGAGCACGGCAUGUCGAAAUCAUUACAGAAACUUCCUCAGUGUUGCACAAGAGGUGCCAUGACUGCGGCUUCUGCAGUCCAUCUGCGGGUGAGGGAUGGCUGUCAGCACUGCCGGGAGCGGCUGCGGCGGGUGGCACGUCGUCGAUAGGAGGUGACAAGGGCUUGCAGAAGAGAUGGAGUGUCACCGCGCUGGCAGGCAGAGCCAGACAAACGAGACAAAGUGCGGCUGCCAAAUCCUUAGCAGUUUUUCUAAUAAGGUUGUGGCCAGCAGCAGGAGCACCGGGAAGGACUUGUGCCCCUCCAAAAAAAGUUUCCGUGCUAUCGCCCAUUUCCAGAAACGGAUCGCUUUGGUUCAGCGCUGAUUUUUCAGGAAAAAAAGAAAACCAAGUCCCCCUGGAACAAAAGAGCACAUCUCCAAAACCAGGUGAGUCUGGAUGUGCACGGGUGGCUUAGAAACAAAUGGUGAUGUGCUGGGGAGGAGCCUACCACAUGGUACAGAGCAAACCACACAAGGCUGCGGAGCAUCGGCAGCAGGAGAUGCUGGCUGGUGUUUGCCAUGAAUUCACCAUGCCACUUCACCUGCACUAUUUAAGCUGUGAAUGCCUCACGCUCUCUUGGUAGAAGAAUAUACGUAUGCUGCUUUGCCCUCAGUUCGGAGGAGCUGCAGGGCUUAAUCAGUGUUACGGAAGCAAUUGUGUAGUGGCAAGAUCAAAACCUGAUGCAAUGGGAGAGUAGAAGUUUGUUCUGAUGGGGUUUGCUGUACAACUUCUCCUGGUACUUCCAAACCAAAGGCUCCCAGAGGACGCUGCAUUGCAGACUGCUUGUUUUCAUAGCCUAAAUACAGCAGCUCCUGCAGGCUGCAGCAGGUCGGUGAGUUAUACAGGCUUGGAUGCAGAUUAACUUCAGAAAGGGCAUGAGUAGCCCAAGAGCAAGGUAGUGUCUGCAG
Molecule: long non-coding RNA, 5400 nt
Organism: Numida meleagris (helmeted guineafowl)
Lineage: Eukaryota; Metazoa; Chordata; Aves; Galliformes; Numididae
Exons: 3
Source: RefSeq, a predicted model, not a curated record